RNAcentral lists this ribosomal RNA (489 nucleotides) under uncultured bacterium. Its description in RNAcentral is "bacterial SSU rRNA". It matches the Rfam family "Bacterial small subunit ribosomal RNA", at positions 19 to 502 of the family's 1533-position model. The record is from RNAcentral.
CUGGCUCAGGAUGAACGCUAGCGACAGGCUUAACACAUGCAAGUCGAGGGGCAGCACAGGUAGCAAUACCGGGUGGCGACCGGCGCACGGGUGAGUAACGCGUAUGCAACUUACCUAUCAGAGGGGGAUAACCCGGCGAAAGUCGGACUAAUACCGCAUGAAGCAGGGGCCCCGCAUGGGGAUAUUUGCUAAAGAUUCAUCGCUGAUAGAUAGGCAUGCGUUCCAUUAGGCAGUUGGCGGGGUAACGGCCCACCAAACCGACGAUGGAUAGGGGUUCUGAGAGGAAGGUCCCCCACAUUGGUACUGAGACACGGACCAAACUCCUACGGGAGGCAGCAGUGAGGAAUAUUGGUCAAUGGGCGUAAGCCUGAACCAGCCAAGUCGCGUGAGGGAUGAAGGUUCUAUGGAUCGUAAACCUCUUUUAUAAGGGAAUAAAGUGUGGGACGUGUCCUAUUUUGUAUGUACCUUAUGAAUAAGGAUCGGCAACUC